This 497-nucleotide ribosomal RNA is filed under the name uncultured bacterium. RNAcentral describes it as "partial 16S ribosomal RNA". It matches the Rfam family "Bacterial small subunit ribosomal RNA", at positions 28 to 507 of the family's 1533-position model. The record is from RNAcentral.
GAUGAACGCUGGCGGCGUGCCUAAUACAUGCAAGUCGAGCGAACAGACGCGGGGCUUGCUCCUCUGACGUUAGCGGCGGACGGGUGAGUAACACGUGGAUAACGUCCCUAUAAGACGGGGAUAACUUCGGGAAACGGGCUCUAAUACCGGAGAAUAUAUUGAACCGCGGGGGGCAAUAGUGAAAGACGGUGUUGCUGUCACUUAUAGAGGGAUCCGCGCCGCAUUGGCUAGUUGGGAGGGUAAAGGCUUACCAAGGGGACGAGGGGCGGACGAGGGGAUAGGGUGAUCGCCCACCCUGGAACGUAGCCGCCGACCAGACUCCUACGGGAGGCAGCAGUCGCGAAUCUUCCGCAAUGGGCGGAAGCAUUACGGAGCAAGCCCGCGUGAGUUACGAAGGCCUCCGGUUCGUAAAGCCCUGUUACUGGUGAAGAACCAAUUUGGAAGUAACUAUGCCCGUCUUGACGGUACCUAGUCAGAAAGCCCCGGCUAACUACGUG